RNAcentral lists this ribosomal RNA (253 nucleotides) under uncultured bacterium. RNAcentral describes it as "partial 16S ribosomal RNA". It matches the Rfam family "Bacterial small subunit ribosomal RNA", at positions 524 to 776 of the family's 1533-position model. The record is from RNAcentral.
UACGGAGGGGACUAGCGUUGUUCGGAAUUACUGGGCGUAAAGCGCACGUAGGCGGAUUUGUAAGUUAGGGGUGAAAUCCCGGGGCUCAACCUCGGAACUGCCUUUGAUACUGCAAAUCUCGAGUCCGGAAGAGGUGAGUGGAAUUCCUAGUGUAGAGGUGAAAUUCGUAGAUAUUAGGAAGAACACCAGUGGCGAAGGCGGCUCACUGGUCCGGUACUGACGCUGAGGUGCGAAAGCUGGGGGAGCGAACAGG